ACCAUUGGUUAACUGUUUUAUUUUUGCAAGGAUUAUAAUUUAUAACUGAACAAACAAUUUCUCCCAAAUUAAAACAAAACCCCUUUUCUUAGAUCUGCUAUGUCUCGGUUUCUAUCUCAUUUCGUUCUUUCGAUCUUCAUCUUCAAUGUUCACCGCCGUUCUCUUUUUUCCACAAAAUCAUUGCCUUAAACCAAUGUCACAACACAACGAUCUGUCGCCAAAAUCUAUCAUCUCACAUUGAUGUCGCACCACAAGGUCUACUACUAGAUAGAGGAAAAUUACCACCGAAAACGGAGGAAGAAGGGAGGAGAGGAUGGAGAGUGGACGGCGGCGUUGGUGUUUGACAACCGCGAUGCCGAGGAUGGCGGUGGGAGAAGGGAGGGAGGAAUCGGAGAUGAUGGUAUCAACAACGAGACCAUCCGUUUUGAAGUUACUGCAGCUCUAACUCCCAAGCACUAUUUGUUGCUUCUUUCAUCUUUCCAUUUUUGCAAAAAUAUUUUUCUUGAGUUUUUGGGUCUGUUGGAUAUUUUGCAUUUUUAUUCUUCUUUUGAGAUCAGAUUUAGAACUUGGGUGUUGAAGAGCUCUUAAUCUAAGUCUCUGAGGCUUAUUUUAAUCUUGAUUUGAUUUUGGGUGUGCCCAAAAAUUUGUUUAUGAAACUUUACUGCUGAGAUGGACCAAUCUGUUGAACGGUCUCUAAAUGUACACAUGGGUUUUUGAGUUCAAGCUCCAUUGAUAUGUCUAUUUUGAAUUCUUUUUGACUUAGUUCUUUUUAUUAUUCAUGUGUUUUUAGAGAUACCCAGAUGAAAUCAUUGCUAAAUGUGUAAUCUUUGUAAGAAUUCUUGGUUUGUGCCCG
Molecule: long non-coding RNA, 853 nt
Filed under: Panax ginseng (ginseng)
Lineage: Eukaryota; Viridiplantae; Streptophyta; Magnoliopsida; Apiales; Araliaceae
Description: long non-coding RNA (PGIN_LNC000106)
Source: RNAcentral